Molecule: small nucleolar RNA, 76 nt
Filed under: Sorghum bicolor (sorghum)
Lineage: Eukaryota; Viridiplantae; Streptophyta; Magnoliopsida; Poales; Poaceae
Description: Plant small nucleolar RNA R71
Rfam family: Plant small nucleolar RNA R71
About the family: R71 is a member of the C/D box family of snoRNAs containing the C (UGAUGA) and D (CUGA) box motifs. Multiple nearly identical copies of this snoRNA have been identified in Arabidopsis, and it is thought to function as a 2'-O-ribose methylation guide for 18S ribosomal RNA.
Source: Rfam by way of RNAcentral
AUUCCAUGAUGGGGACAUUCUAGGAUGUAGUCUUGGAAGCGCUCCCAUGCUUCUGGAAAGUGUUGGAGAUGAGCAC